Acanthochromis polyacanthus (spiny chromis) is the source of this 1035-nucleotide long non-coding RNA. RefSeq lists it as uncharacterized. The record is from RefSeq and is a predicted model, not a curated record. NCBI's taxonomy places the organism in Eukaryota, Metazoa, Chordata, Actinopteri, Pomacentridae. The transcript has 7 exons.
CCAACAUCUCAGCAGACAUCUUAAAACUCUGGACGCUGUUACAGCUUCAGGAGGAUCUGUCUGCUGGGCUUUAGAACGUCACGUUAACCAGGCAUUUACAGAGUUAAGGUUCCUCUAUCUGUUGGGCUUUAGAACGUCACGUUAACCAGGCAUUUAUAGAGUUAAAGUUCCUCUAUCUGUUGGGCUUUAGAACGUCACGUUAACCAGGCAUUUACAGAGUUAAAGUUCCUCUAUCUGUUGGGCUUUAGAACGUCACGUUAACCAGGCAUUUAUAGAGUUAAAGUUCCUCUAUCUGUUGGGCUUUAGAACGUCAUGUUAACCAGGCAUUUAUAGAGUUAAAGUUCCUCUAUCUGUUGGGCUUUAGAACGUCACGUUAACCAGGCAUUUAUAGAGUUAAGGUUCCUCUAUCUGUUGGGCUUUAGAACGUCACGUUAACCAGGCAUUUACAGAGUUAAAGUUCCUCUAUCUGUUGGGCUUUAGAACGUCAUGUUAACCAGGCAUUUAUAGAGUUAAAGUUCCUCUAUCUGUUGGGCUUUAGAACGUCACGUUAACCAGGCAUUUAUAGAGUUAAGGUUCCUCUAUCUGUUGGGCUUUAGAACGUCAUGUUAACCAGGCAUUUAUAGAGUUAAAGUUCCUCUAUCUGUUGGGCUUUAGAACGUCACGUUAACCAGGCAUUUACAGAGUUAAAGUUCCUCUAUCUGUUGGGCUUUAGAACAUCAUGUUAACCAGGCAUUUAUAGAGUUAAGGUUCCUCUAUCUGUUGGGCUUUAGAACGUCACGUUAACCAGGCAUUUAUAGAGUUAAGGUUCCUCUAUCUGUUGGGCUUUAGAACGUCACGUUAACCAGGCAUUUAUAGAGUUAAGGUUCCUCUAUCUGUUGGGCUUUAGAACGUCACGUUAACCAGGCAUUUAUAGAGUUAAGGUUCCUCUAUCUGUUGGGCUUAAGAACGACAUGCUAAACAGGAAAUUACAGAGUUUGGGUUCCACCAUUUGUUGGGCUUUAGAACACAGUUUGGAUUCCACUAUCUGUCUCUCUG